Molecule: transfer RNA, 96 nt
Filed under: Nocardiopsis dassonvillei
Lineage: Bacteria; Bacillati; Actinomycetota; Actinomycetes; Streptosporangiales; Nocardiopsidaceae
Description: tRNA-Arg(ccg)
Source: RNAcentral
UCCGGCAUAGACCGGUAAGCGUAGUCCGCCGCUUCCGUGCCGCCCGCACGGGUCCCGCGGACCCGGGGCGGCCGGUGCCGACCCGGUCGCCGGAGC